This 253-nucleotide ribosomal RNA is filed under the name uncultured bacterium. Its description in RNAcentral is "partial 16S ribosomal RNA". It matches the Rfam family "Bacterial small subunit ribosomal RNA", at positions 524 to 776 of the family's 1533-position model. The record is from RNAcentral.
UACAGAGGAGCCAAGCGUUGUCCGGAUUGACUGGGCGUAAAGCGCACGCAGGCGGGGGGGCGCGUGGGGGGUGAAAUCUGGCCGCUUAACGGCCAGGCGCCAUCCCAUACGGCACGCCUGGAGCCUUGCAGAGGUCGGUGGAAUUGCCGGUGUAGUGGUGAAAUGCGUAGAUAUCGGAAGGAACAUCAGUGGCGAAAGCGGCUUCCUGGUCCAGCAUCGACGUUCAGGCACGAAAGCGUGGGGAGCAAACAGG